RNAcentral lists this ribosomal RNA (468 nucleotides) under uncultured bacterium. Its description in RNAcentral is "partial 16S ribosomal RNA". It matches the Rfam family "Bacterial small subunit ribosomal RNA", at positions 28 to 507 of the family's 1533-position model. The record is from RNAcentral.
GACGAACGCUGGCGGCGUGCUUAACACAUGCCAGUCGAACGGAAAGGCCCUGCUUUUGUGGGGUGCUCGAGUGGCGAACGGGUGAGUAACACGUGAGUAACCUGCCCUUGACUUUGGGAUAACUUCAGGAAACUGGGGCUAAUACCGGAUAGGAGCUCCUGCUGCAUGGUGGGGGUUGGAAAGUUUCGGCGGUUGGGGAUGGACUCGCGGCUUAUCAGCUUGUUGGUGGGGUAGUGGCUUACCAAGGCUUUGACGGGUAGCCGGCCUGAGAGGGUGACCGGCCACAUUGGGACUGAGAUACGGCACAGACUACUACGGGAGGCAGCAGUGGGGAAGAGUGCACAAUGGGCGGAAGCCUGAUGCAGCAACGCCGCGUGUGGGAUGACGGCCUUCGGGUUGUAAACCGCUUUCGCCUGUGACGAAGCGUGAGUGACGGUAAUGGGUAAAGAAGCACCGGCUAACUACGUG